GCUGCAGCCAAUCAGAGGCAAUCAAGCACACAAGAGGCCUGAUGGGCCACACAGGCGGGUGCACCCACAGGCACCAGAGCUGGCCCCUCAGUCAGGGAGACGUCAAAGCCGCCAGGACGAGUCAAAGUAAUAUGCCUGCGACCGGCACGUGGACUUUUAUUUCUUCCCCCUCCACGCUCCAGAGCUGCUCCUGCGGCGUGGAGAGAUAAAUAUUUUAAAUAGCGACACUUUGGCGAUGCACAGUUAUGCAAGACAAGGAAUAAUUAGAAAAUAAAUUACUUUUUUUAAA
This is a long non-coding RNA of Canis lupus familiaris (dog), 289 nucleotides long. RefSeq lists it as uncharacterized. The transcript is spliced from 2 exons. The record is from RefSeq and is a predicted model, not a curated record. Lineage: Eukaryota; Metazoa; Chordata; Mammalia; Carnivora; Canidae.